Molecule: transfer RNA, 76 nt
Filed under: Escherichia coli
Lineage: Bacteria; Pseudomonadati; Pseudomonadota; Gammaproteobacteria; Enterobacterales; Enterobacteriaceae
Also listed under: 4 other names
Description: tRNA-Lys
Rfam family: tRNA
About the family: Transfer RNA (tRNA) molecules are approximately 80 nucleotides in length. Their secondary structure includes four short double-helical elements and three loops (D, anti-codon, and T loops).
Source: RNAcentral
GGGUCGUUAGCUCAGUUGAUAGAGCAGUUGACUUUUAAUCAAUUGGUCGCAGGUUCGAAUCCUGCACGACCCACCA